GCUCAGCCGUCAACAAAGACAGUACAAAAUACAAUACUGUUCGCCAGAGAACUACAAGCUAAAACUCAAAACUCCAAGGACUUGGCGGUGCUCCACACCAACCUAGAGGAGCCUGUCCUAUAAUCGAUACCCCCCGAUCUACCUCACCACUUUUUGAAACUCAGCCUAUAUACCGCCGUCGUCAGCCUACCUUAUGAAAGAAGUACAGUAAGCGAAAUAGUCACCAACUAAAACGCCAGGUCAAGGUGUAGCACAUAAAGUGGAAGAGAUGGGCUACACUCUCUCCCUCAGAGAACACGAACAGCAUCAAUGAAACACUGCUUAAAGGUGGAUUUAGUAGUAAGAUAAACAAGAGAACUUAUAUUAAACCAGCUCUGGAGCGCGC
RNAcentral lists this ribosomal RNA (385 nucleotides) under Oligosoma grande. Its description in RNAcentral is "partial 12S ribosomal RNA". It matches the Rfam family "Bacterial small subunit ribosomal RNA", at positions 794 to 1384 of the family's 1533-position model. Lineage: Eukaryota; Metazoa; Chordata; Lepidosauria; Squamata; Scincidae. The record is from RNAcentral.